Molecule: long non-coding RNA, 4275 nt
Organism: Clupea harengus (Atlantic herring)
Lineage: Eukaryota; Metazoa; Chordata; Actinopteri; Clupeiformes; Clupeidae
Source: Ensembl
UAACUUACAAAUGGGAAAAAGUGCGUCAAAAGCAGAAGACGCACAUGAUAAUAGCAAUAAGAGGUGGUUUAAAAUGUCUACAACAAGAAGAAAAUUGUAACACUGAUUUGAAAAUGUUUUUACAUUAUUGGUUGCACCAAACAGAGCAAAGCUAACGUUAAUGGUGGCAAGAAAGCCAAUGAUUUUUUGUUUUGUUUUGUUUUAUGUGACUUUGGUGCCUGCUGAGCAGUAAUCAGAGAAUUAGAUGCCCAGAACAGUAAGGUUGUAAGAAGAAAGAGACAUCUAAAAGCAGAGUUUGAAACAGGAGAGAUAUUUCAAAAUACAGAUUAUGUUUCAAAAACAUGCCCUACAAACUUAUUAGGAAGAGAUGUGAUGUGGGUUGGGCAUUAUAAUUGUUCCAACAAUACAUGGGUUUUAGAAUAAAUUAAACAAUGAUGUCCCAAAAUAUUAUUAUGUAUAGAAUAUACACUGUUAAGCCCAAAAAAAAAAAAAAAAAGAUUUUAAGAGAAAUGUAAGCCUGUCACACUAACUACAUUAACCUAGACUGAUACAUUGGACUAAGACGGAUGGGUGGGGGCUGAGUGCUGGCUCAAAAGACUGUAUUCUCACAAGCCAUGAGCUCAAACUUAGCUACAGUUCGAGGGACAGUCAAUUGUUGUUGAACAUCUAGUGCUGUUCCUCCAGAUAAGAAGACCUGUAAACAACAUACCCUGGCGUUGUUAGGAUUUUUAGCAGAAACAAGGCCACAACAUUAGCAGCUGUGGUCCACUAAAGUAAAGCUAUCUUAAAAAGCACCUCAGCCACAGACAAAGAAAUAAAUUAUGUAUUUUCUGAGAAUGACUAACUUCUGUAGAUAAUGGAUUCCUAACCACGCGUUAGAAACACAAAUGUUGCAGAGUUUACUUUAUUCUCAGCCCAGGUCAGCAGGAGAUAUUAUUAAAAGGCCUGAAGAUGGAAAGCAGGCAUUUGAACAGAUAAAACAACUGUUGGUCAGUUCCGCUGUCCUAGCACAUCCAUGACAUGACAAAGCCAUUCGUACAAACUGUAGACUGUAAAAAAGGUUAUAUAACAUCUGUGUUAAUGCAUAAGUGGGGACUUAAAGUUGAUAUCAGUGGCAUACUAGUCAACCCGGCUAGAUCCAGUAGCCCAAGCAAUGUCUGAAUGUUUACAAGCAGUAGUGGCUGCAGCCUUGGCGGUGCAGGCCUCUGCUCCUAUUGUACUAAACAGACACUUACACUGAAAGUUCCACAUGCGUACUUUUUUUUUUUUUGCUCACUCAGCCUCAUAUCAAUAUUGAGCGCUGCGUGACAUUUAACCCAGUUACACUUUUACUUACGGCAGAGGACAGAUAAAAACUAUGGCAGCCAGAGCUGACCUACAAGAUAUGCCUUUUCCAAAAGCUGAUUUAACUAUUGUUUGUUGAUGGUUCAAGCAAAUAAACCUUGAACGCAUAGCCACUACUUCCACACUAUUCUGCACAAGCAGCGGAACUAAUUGAACUGAUUGCACACACAUGCAAAAGACCCGGUUUCAUUGGGAAACCACAAAGCAGACAAGGCCACUAACCAGGCCAAACUACAACAACCAUCUGACACAUACACAAUUGAAGAAUUAGAUCUCACAAUAUUAAAAGAUAUGCUGCAAUAUUGAGCCAUGGUGAAAACAUGCCUCAAUAAGUGGGGAUAGUAAGCAUAUAUUUGUACUUUAUAUUUCAUGAGAAAGAUGUUUAAUCAUUCAUUAUUGAUUUUAUUGGGUUAAAUCCCAACGAAAGAAAGAAAUAUUGUCUAGCCAUAGACAAUCACUGUUCAUACAACCCCCAGUCAGCCGGACUGGUAGAAAAUAAUGAACCGACCUAUUGAAAGCAAUUUGAGAAUCCAAGAGUGAAAUUAGUGAAAUUAAGCAUGCAUGUUGUUAUCACUGUUUGAAAUGAUGUAUGGAAGAAUCUACACUGCCUAAACUCUCAAACUAUUUGCUGAAACAGACAAAGAGAUUUAAUAUACAUUUGCAGAAUAUAUGGCAAAGAUGAUGUCGAAACUAAAUGCUCUCAGACUUCUCUCCCCUACACAGGAACACUGUGAGGCUGAAUUCAAGGUUGGACCAGGAGAUUGGGUCCUAAUCAACAGCCUCAAAAGAAAACACUGCCAUUCACCCAAGUGGGACAGACCAUAACAAGUGCUACUGUCAACACCUACCAGAGUCAAAAUAGCUGAUAGAGCCACGUGGAUACUUCUGGCUCAAUGCAAACGGGUCCAAGACUCACCAGUACCUGAGGAACGUUCCAAUGCAUUCCGUACGAGGGAGGAGAGAAGCAGGGGAUGACAGCGGGAUCUGGUCCGAUGGCCUGGGCAUUCCCUGAGGCAUUCCAGACCACUACAAAAACUUGAAGAUGCCGACGAGGACUACGCGUUCACGGUGAGAGACGGAGGAACCAGAACCCAGCGGCAGCCGGCGUGCAGCAUCCAAGAGAGGGGUCUGAUGGUGGACACGGGAGCUACCUCUCAUGUCAUCACUGACAUAACCGUCUUCAAGAGUUUCGACAGCGCGUUCAGGCCAGAAACGCACAUUGUCGAGCUGGCAGACGGCACCCGGUGCAGCGGGAUUGCUCAGCGGAGGGGGAAUGCUGAGGUUUCCCUCAUCGACAGCAACGGACAGCGACGAAAGGCGACACUGAGAGACGCUUUGUUCGUACCGUCAUAUCCCCAGAGCAUCUUCUCGGUGAAGGCAGCUGAUGGAGAUAAUUUCUAAACACUGUUAAUGACUUAAGAAUAUAAUAAUCAAGUGCCUUGUAUUAUUAAUUACCUUAUAUGAAUCAUGUACUUAUGUAAGCAGGAACAUGGCUUUUCUGUGUUUCUGCGUGUGUGUAACUUAGAAUAUUAGGUGCCACUUAGUCUGCAUAUGUACAAGAGCAUGUUUAGACCAGAAGUGAUAAGAAGGGUCGAACUGUGCUUCUUCCGACCUUGCAAAACUUCCAUCCUUGCCUCGGACGUGAGAAAUCCACCACGUGAUUUCCCUGCUGAACGCUCAACUUCUGUCUAUAUAAACCUUGUGCGAUGUGUUUAUCAUUGCUUCACUUUCAGCCUUGUGCUGGGAGUGAGCCCGAUUGCAAUUGUUGUUUGUCUAAUAAAUAUACUUAUAUGCAGCUCCGGAGUCCUGAGGUAACUAGGGUGAAUUUUCACCUAUCAGCAGCUACUACGAGUGGAGCUACGGUUGUCUUCAAAGAAGAUAAAGAUGUCCUGAUAACCAGAGGCGGUACCAGAUUUAACAUUCAUGUGUAUGGAAAGCUGUAUUAUUUGCAUACUGAAUCUGAAUCUAAUGAUAAGUGUAAUGCCUGUCACGACAUACAGACAUGGCAUGAAAUAUUAGGCCAUUGUAACUAUGACGAUGUUCUUAAGUUGCAAAAUGUUGUUGUAGGUAUGCAGAUCAAAGGCAAAACGGGUAGGCCCGAACAAGAGUGUGAGGUGUGUAUUCAGGGAAAGUUUGCCCAAACCAGAAAUAGGGACCCUGAUACCAGAGCAAAGGCUCCCUUACAGAUGGUACACACAGAUCUUGCAGGUCCUGUAGCCACUGAGUCGAGAGAUGGUUACAAAUAUGUGCAAUCAUUUACUGAUGAUUACUCAAGCGCAGUGUUUGUUUAUUUUCUAAAGAAGAAAAGUGACACAAUACAGGCUACGGAAAAGUUCCUAGCAGAUAUAUCCCCUUAUGGGAAGGUGAGGUGCAUCAGAUCCGACAACGGAACAGAGUUUACAUGCAGUGAUUUCCAAGCAGUGUUGAGGAAAAAUAAGAUCAGACAUGAAACGUCAGCUCCUUAUUCCCCACACCAGAACGGAACAGCAGAGAGGGGUUGGCGUACUCUUUUUGAGAUGGGUAGGUGCAUGAUAGUUGAAAGUGCAUUACCAAAGCAGCUAUGGACCUACGCUGUACAAACAGCAGCAAUGGUACGGAACAGAUGUUUUAACAGACGUGUUGUUUUCCAGGACUCUUGGAGAUUACCUUCUUUCCUCCUGAAAGAGUAGUAAAUGGCUCCUGUGUUUGUUGUUUUCCAGGACUCUUGGAGAUUACCUUAUUUCCUCCUGAAAGAGUAGUAAAGGGCUCCUGUGUUUGUAACUUUCACUAUUUUUACUAUUUCAGAAGGCUUUUAUUACUUUUACUCCUUUUAUUCCUUUUAUACCUUAUAUCAUGUAUUGCUCUUGCUGCCUGCUUUUAUUGAUGUUUUGUAAAGCACUUUGAACUGCAACUCUUGUACGAAAUGUGCUAUAUAAAUAAAGUCUUACUUAC